Notechis scutatus (mainland tiger snake) is the source of this 171-nucleotide non-coding RNA. The record is from RefSeq and is a predicted model, not a curated record. Lineage: Eukaryota; Metazoa; Chordata; Lepidosauria; Squamata; Elapidae.
GUGUGUGUGUGUGUGUGAUGGCGGGAGAAAGAUGUGGCUUCUUGAGGGUGCAUUUUGGAGAAGUGUCAAGAGAAAUGCUAAAAGGGCAAUCAGCUUGGGAUUAAAUUUCAAAUGAAAUUGGGUCUUCAGGGUAAGGAGACAUAAAGAACUUUCAACUGCAGGUUUCUAAAA